AACGAGCAAAACUCCAAGCUGUUGUUUUGACUCUUUAGCUCUGAUCAGUCAGUACUGUUAAUUCCUCUAUUUCUUGAAUCUAACACAAAAAUACAGUGAUGAGCCUUGCGAGAAACAAAGAGAAAAGAACCAUAUCCCACCUUACUAAGGUGACCUUAGUGUCCUUCCUACAUUGUAGUUUCUGGGGCUGCAGGGGAUGGCUAUCUUGCUACAGAUGUUUGGCGGGUUGCGCCUUUGUGUUUCAACUCUUUGGGAUCUGCAAGAAAUGAGAUUUUCUGCUAUUUUUGAUGAUGUAAGUUCUGUUGCAAUGACCAUCAUCAUGGCCGCAGUAUCAUGCUUCAUUGCUACGAGGAGCAGAUGAUUUUAAAGUUUCAGCUUGAAUUAGACUCUUCACCGUGUAUAUUUUUAUCAUCACCAUAUUCAUGUUAUGGUUUUUAUUUAGUCUGCCAUGUAUGCUUCUUCUAGGUCUUUUAAGCUUUUGUUGUUUUCAUCGUUGUCA
Long non-coding RNA from Quercus robur (English oak), 499 nucleotides. RefSeq lists it as uncharacterized. The transcript is spliced from 2 exons. NCBI's taxonomy places the organism in Eukaryota, Viridiplantae, Streptophyta, Magnoliopsida, Fagales, Fagaceae. The record is from RefSeq and is a predicted model, not a curated record.